CAUGACUGACUAAAGCAUCGUGGAAACUAUGGUGAGUGGGCGAUAUGUGAAGCUCGCUAUAAAAGUGCCAGCUCUCUCAUAUGCAGGUGACAUAUAGCACGGGAGUCUUUGAGAUAACGAGUCCUUGGCCAACGGAGCAAGAUACUUCUUAAUCUGUCUUUGAACCACUUACACAGGAACAGGCUUGUCUCUCGCUCGUGGGACAUCACCCUGAACACGGGACUACAUGUAUAGGACUUAAGUAAUUACUUAACUAACGAUCCAGCUCAUGCAUGCAUGCGUUCCAAACGUGCUAGCCUUGUCUUAAUUGGUACCCGGAAUAAAAUGACCAGUUCUAUCGGAUUGUUCAUCAGCGUUUGAAAGAAUCGCGCUUCCCUCCGUGAGCGGGACGGUUUACACUACCGGAGCAGCCCUGAGAGGCGUGCGAGAUUUCCACGUUGAGCGACGUUAAUACUCCAAGGGAGUUUGGAAAUCGGCGCCGGAGUGACAGCAAGGAGGCGGGGAUACGUGGACGGAAAUGGGCCAACAUGGCCCCCUCACACACAAACGCGUUGCCGGCUAGAACACAACACGGAUAUCGAUAUAGCUUUACAAAGCGUACAUCACAAGAUGCACCCAUACCGACCAUGGGCAGUACAUUCACUCUACAACUGUUACAGCUGAUAAUUACACUUCUUGCUCUCAGCGAGUGUCUCCCCAUCCCUACGGGAGGGACCACCCCGGGUAUCACAUCUCAGUACCCCGUCACCAAUGCAUUGCCCGUACCAUUCACUGCAGAUGCCACGAGGGCAGUCAUUCAAAGCAUGGAGAAACUUUGGAUCCAAAGAUUCGAGAAUUCGGACUAUUUUAAACAAUUGCCGAAAGGUCUCCAAGAGGAUGUGAAAGAAUUUUUGAACUCAAGGACCCGAAAUAUUCUUGAAGGGGACCAAAGUUUGAAUUCUCAGGAAAAUAAUUUAAGGAAUAAUAUUCCUUCCCCUCGGGGAGGGGAUUCCAUAUCUGUAAGUGACUCUCUUAAGUCAAAAGAAAUCACAUUAGAGGCGAAAGACCCAGGUCCCGAGAGCCCGAGUUUGGACAAGUCUAAAAGUAGUAACAUUACAGUGGUCGUUGAGCCGACCAGGGCUGGACAUCGGUCAAAGAGGAGCUAUGGACGAUCGUAUCUGGACAAUAGGAUAUCCCCGUACCUCUCUGGUGGCCCAAUUGACAUUACAUACACCCAUGUUGUGCCGUGCGUGUAUGCCGAUCGGUACUACUGUCUUAACGGAGGAACAUGUGUGUUUGUGGGAGCGCUGGACUUAAAAACCUGCAGGUGCCCGAUGGGCUACACGGGUCUCCGCUGUGAAAUGAUUGACCAGGAGUAUAUUCUCAGCCUUCUCACCAAUUCUAUCAUGUUCGACUGAAGCAACACUUGGGUGACCGAACGGAAAACGCAGACGACUAUUGGUUGGCAUCAAUUGUGGCGCCGUAGCCUGUCAUUCGCCUCACUCGCUCCUUGCUGUCUUCUGCCAGCCGGCUUGUUGUCCCUGGCAACCAGCUGGACCAGACCAGGCUGCCAUCUUCCGGCUAAAACCUACAACUGAUAGGUGGCGCGCCGUCACCAGAAGGACACGCGUCUUGGUGAUGGGUAUCUUUAAAGCGACGUAUCAAGGAUGUGAGGGCCUUCCUUUGAAGUAUGGUAAUUGCAGCUUCAGUUUCGCCACGGUUUGGGAACGCUUGCUGCUGUUACAGUAUUUUCUUCAUAUAAGUCUCUCCCUUCUCCAUCCCUGCCCUUUAUUCUUCAGGCUGCAAAACGGUCAUGUUUUGGGAGGAACGGUGGUCUGACUGGAGUGAAAACCCCUUUCAAUCUAGAAGCAGCCAUAUUUUCACCAAUAAAUUUCCCGCCACUUGGCUCACGUGAUAUGGUGUCGUCUGAUUCCCUCCCGAUCCUCGCUCUUCCAACCACGUGAUUUUCGUGCAUCCUGUCUUAUUUAAUUUGCUGUAAAUCAAGAAACUGACGGACCAGUCUUCAUAUAAUUUCUGUAUGUCUAAUAAGGAGUGUUUCUGCAAUGGUGGAAUGUGGGACGCGAUCUGCACGUGCAUGUAUACCCGGAGAACACGUGUAGAGAAGGAGGAUGUCGAAAGGAGAACGAACUAUGGUGUCCUCAGACUGACGUGGUAUAUAUAUUGUGCUAAGUUGGGCAAAAUCAUCAAUUCAACUUCGGUUUGUUUGAGACCUUAACGAGCUCCGACACACUGCGUGAAUCUCGUCCCGGAGAGUUGAUAAUUGGGUGCUUUGACGUCACCUGCUGGAUGAACUUGGGCGGACCAUUUAACAUGUUGACCCGCCCCAAUUUAUCACGUGAUGUUUGUCACGUGGUUACGGGUAACGGGUACGGUUGUGAGCACACGUGACUCGGUUUGUCUAAAGACUAUCAGAAAAUGUCCCGUAGUCUUUUUAAGGAUUUCAUAACAUGGGACAUUGUUGGUAUUCACGGAUGAGAGACAGUGGUCAUAUUGUUACUAUUGAAAUCUGUUACUUUUUAAAGACAGAAUCAUGACAGAAUCAGGAGGUUCGCUCUUGGAAGCCGAGACCCUACAUCGUCUUUUAUCUUAAUGGUGUCAGAUCUUUAUGAUGUAAUAACAUCACUGGUCUAAAUGUCGACCUUUAGGUGAAGCUGACUGUCAUAAUGACCUGACCUUGACCUGGACUCUUUUACAUGACCUUCUAGGGUCAAGAUGACUUUUUGAGCGAUACCUUUCUCAUCACACGACCUCUCACCUUUGGUGAGACAACAGCUAGAUUUGCCUCAGGCUUUAGUGCUGGUUUGACCUUCGAUUUGUAUGUAUAUUUGGCUCUUGAGUAUUAUGAUUACGACAAGGGGACGGAAACAAUCUGAACUGAAUACGCUCGCAUUGUUAAGUAGAAUCAUUUCAAAGGAACGGAGCGCCCUCGAAUAAACAGAUAUUAUAAAAAUAUAUUCAGUUUGCAAAAGAAAGUAUCAUGUAAAGUCUUUUUUAUGUAUUAAGCAAUGUGCAACUUCAAAGUACAUAUAUUUCAACACGCACAAGUUUCCUCCAGUUUAACAUCAUUCAAAGCAAACUGAAGUGAAAAGCAACGUUUGUUUUGUUCGCGUGCGCUCCUUUACUGUAGUCUCUGCACAAGAUGGAUAGUUUCGCAAACGAUGGUUGUGGCACUUAAGGGGUUAUUGUAAUGUAUUGUUGUGAAAGUUAGUGAAAUAAUAGUUUACGCUACCAUAUUUACAAAUGGCAAUAUAGAGACUGGGUAGAGGACUGAAAAUGGCUGAAGUACAAGAGAACCAAAUGUGAGUUAUAUGCCUCAAAGUUAUUUUUGUAGAUUUUAAUAACAUUGACAACCCUCUUUAAACUUCCCUUCCCUUCUCCAUGCACACGUAUUAUUAGCUCAACGAUGAAUUAAGGGACCUACAACUAUAAAAAUAUUUUAUCAACAUGCACAUACUACCCUGUCGAUCGCGGCUGGGGCACCUCGCACCUCGGUCGCAACUUGGGAUAUUUGUAAUGAUUACUAGUACAAACACAAACGUUUCCACGUUCGCGACCGAGACGCGAAAUAUUCGCGCCCUGGUCGCGAUCAAUAGGGCGUUUGUUUUUCAACAGUGUAUUCGUACCUGGGCUGUAAAAAGUACUAUGUUAUAUUUGUUGGUGUAUUGUUUUUUUUUAAUAUAUUCAGAUUAUUUGCCUUGAGCAAAAAGAAGUUGAUUUUUUUAUGACGUAAUUUGCUUGUUAAAUGGUGUCCCGUCUUCUUGUAACGUCCAGUGUAUCCAUCUUCCCCUAUUAAGCAAUCUAUGUCAAAAUCUCGCGCAUUACACUACAGAGGCACGUGCGAGAAACGAUAGGUUUAUCCACCCAAAUUGGCAAUAUUGUGAAAGCUGGCAUUGCAUUUCUUUGCCGUAAAUUGAAAUCGGAUCGAAUUGUUUACUAGUUGCAUAUCAUUUGCGAUUUUGCGACAUUGGUAUGCCGUUUACUUCGCGGAAUACGUUUUCUUAAGCCAUCUUAACACUUUGGCUGAAGCACAUCUAUGAUUACGAUACGAUAUUACGUAAAUAAGUAGCUUUACUGAAUGGGUGUCAAAAUGAAGCACUGUGCCACUGUAGAAAAAGGCGUAACGACACAGCUGAUUGGAUGAGAGAUUAAAUGCAUUCGAAAUAUACCAGCGCAUUUUUUUUAAUUUAUACCAUGCUAAUCUAUCUUUGUAUAUGAAAAAAAUAAUAACAAAUUAAUAACUAAUUGAUUAGGUUGAUACAAAAUCACCUACUCACGUUGUGUAUGUAUUACCUUGCCGUCAUUUAGGGUAUGGUUCUUCAUUGUGGAGAGGUUAAUAAAUUGUCAGGGCGGUGUGUUAGCCUAGUGGUUAAAGCGUUCGCUCGUCACGCUGAAGACCCGGGUUUAAUUCCCCAAAUGGGUACAAUGUGUGAAGCCCAUUUCUGGUGUCCCCCGCCUGGAUAUUGCUGGAAUAUUGCUAAAAGCGGCGAAAAAUCCAACUCACUCACUCAUAAAUUGCCAUGAUAUUGCUGAAACGUUACCGAUAGUGGAAGCGGGCUGUGGGUUUUGAAUUAUAAAAGCGUUCGGUUUGUAGUCGAAUGCUUCUGUUUCUAUUACAAACAACAUUUCCUAUUGGUUGCGGUUCACAGAGUAUACUUUAUCAAAACUGAAAAUAUAAAUGUAUACAUAGGUUUAAGGCCUACCUUUGGUUCUGGGUUUAUCAAAACAGUUGUGCCUAUUGCUUACAUGGUUACUUAAGGGUGAUUGUAAACUCCAAUACGACCAUCUGUCAAUUUUAACACCUUUCAGCAGAAAUGUAUCUUUGUUGAUGCUGGAUCUGACAGAUGGUGCAUUCAGACAUACAUAUGUGCUACUGUCUGGCCGCGUAACUAUACUGAUGCUUUUCUUUUAAUCAGAGGCAGGGAAAAGAUGAUUUAAACUGACAUAAUUGUUCACUCGUGAAUGAAAAUAUACCUGUCGUGCGAGUUAUCUCCCUUCGAUACGACCUUCGGCGCUCACUGUCAGUUGUCCAAUAAUAUUACAUAAUUAUAUAUCUCAAUGUACAAAAUAUCUCACAGAUAUACAAUCUAUAGCUUUUAUCUGUCUGCAGAUAGUGCUGCCUCGCAUAUCAUGGUAUUGUUUUGUUCAUACGAUAUUCAAGACAACUUAGUCUGAAGUCAUUCAAGGGGAGAUAACUGCGUUCUGUACUUCUUAUGAACUCUAUAUGACGAAGAUUGACAGAGUGUCUCGUGCUAAUGUGGAUGUACAAAGUCUUUCUUAUAAGGAAAUUAAAGGACAGUUAAUUUUC
This 5305-nucleotide long non-coding RNA is filed under the name Haliotis rufescens (red abalone). Its description in RNAcentral is "uncharacterized LOC125384249". Lineage: Eukaryota; Metazoa; Mollusca; Gastropoda; Lepetellida; Haliotidae. The record is from RNAcentral.